Molecule: ribosomal RNA, 253 nt
Filed under: uncultured bacterium
Lineage: Bacteria
Description: partial 16S ribosomal RNA
Rfam family: Bacterial small subunit ribosomal RNA
Source: RNAcentral
UACGUAGGGGGCAAGCGUUAUCCGGAUUUACUGGGUGUAAAGGGAGCGUAGACGGCCAGACAAGUCAGAAGUGAAAGCCCAGGGCUCAACCCUGGGACUGCUUUUGAAACUGCCGGGCUGGAGUGCAGGAGAGGUAAGCGGAAUUCCUAGUGUAGCGGUGAAAUGCGUAGAUAUUAGGAGGAACACCAGUGGCGAAGGCGGCUUACUGGACUGUAACUGACGUUGAGGCUCGAAAGAGUGGGGAGCAAACAGG